UUGUGCCUGACUAGAAGGAAUCUGCAAUGAUAAUACUGACUUCAGUUCCACGGUUUGCUUGUGCCUAGAGAACGGCUGAUUCUGAUUCAAGGCUGAUCGAUUGGGGCAUCUCUAGCUGUGUCAGCAACAUUGACGUAAGCGAGACUGCUGCUUCCAAACUAUAAGUAGAUCAAGUCUCUGAGCUUUAGCCUUUUAGCACUGAUUUAAAGUUAAAGGCACAUUUAGCUCCCCGAGAGGUUUUCUGGCACCUUCCUAUAGGGGUAUCAUGCUACAAGCCUUCUGUAGUUCACACUUUUCUCACUUUCUUGCACCGUCUUAUCAUGCAGGAGGUGGG
This is a long non-coding RNA of Poecilia latipinna (sailfin molly), 334 nucleotides long. RefSeq lists it as uncharacterized. NCBI's taxonomy places the organism in Eukaryota, Metazoa, Chordata, Actinopteri, Cyprinodontiformes, Poeciliidae. The record is from RefSeq and is a predicted model, not a curated record. The transcript has 2 exons.